AACGCUGGCGGCGUGCCUAACACAUGCAAGUCGAACGAGAAAGUGGUAGCAAUACCAUGAGUAAAGUGGCGCACGGGUGAGUAACACGUGACUAACCUACCCUUGAGUGGGGGAUAACCGAGGGAAACCUUAGCUAAUACCGCAUAAUACCCACGGGUCAAAGGAGCAAUUCGCUCGAGGAGGGGGUCGCGGCCGAUUAGUUAGUUGGCGGGGUAAUGGCCCACCAAGACGAUGAUCGGUAUCCGGCCUGAGAGGGCGCACGGACACACUGGAACUGAAACACGGUCCAGACUCCUACGGGAGGCAGCAGUGGGGAAUUUUGCGCAAUGGGGGAAACCCUGACGCAGCAACGCCGCGUGGAGGAUGAAGUCCUUCGGGACGUAAACUCCUUUCGAUCGGGACGAUUAUGACGGUA
This 415-nucleotide ribosomal RNA is filed under the name uncultured bacterium. Its description in RNAcentral is "bacterial SSU rRNA". It matches the Rfam family "Bacterial small subunit ribosomal RNA", at positions 32 to 477 of the family's 1533-position model. The record is from RNAcentral.